GGUUAAUUGCGAUUUUGUUUAAUUAUAACAUAAAAUAAUUUAAAGUGUUUCGAUUAACAGUAAGAUUACUGUGUAUUUUCGAUUGUCAAGUUACGAAUAUCGUGCUGGGAUACCAAAAAUACCUUUUUACCCUCUAAAAAUUAGUUGUGAUGGGGUGCUCGAAAAUUUCUUCAGAGAAUAUUUAAGGAUACUUACCACAUUUGCAAUCUGGGAUAUGUCAACGAAAAGAAAUACUCUGGAUGCCAUGUGCUAUUGGACAUUGGAUCAAAUCAACCAUUUUUCACUUUAGGAUGUAGCAGUACUUAAAGGAAGCAUAAAGGUUAACUGACAAAUAAGAGAGAAUGAAGACAUUGAAGUUAAUUUUCAUCCUACUGGAAAAGCAUAAUUCGUCUACUAUAUGGUACUGUGUUUGCUGUUGACUUUUCACCUUGGAUGAUUUUAUAGUUAUUUAAGAAACACUGAGGAUACCAUGUGCUGUGGGAGAUUUGGCUAAAUCAACCCUAUUUCACUCAAGGAUGUAGCAUUACCUGAAAGAGGCACAAAGGUGCCAUUCCUCGUCACCUGUUUCCAAUCAAUAACUUAGGAACACUCUAGAUGUCAUGUGAUAUAGAUUUAAUUAUAUAAGUCCUUCUUCACUCCAAGAUGUGUUAAUACCUGAAAACCACUUUUUCGAUCGGAAAUUGGCGCUGUGUGUUGCAGUUACUGGAGGAAGGAUUUAUGAUGCUGAACAACAUCAAGUAAAGGAACACUCUAGAUGCUAGGUGAUACAGAGAUUUAAUUAUAUAAGUCCUUCUUCACUCCAAGAUGUGUUAAUACCUGAAAACCACUUUUUCGAUCGGAAAUUGACGCAGUGUGUUGCAGUUACUGGAGGAAGCAUUUAUGAUGCUGAACAACAUCAA
Molecule: long non-coding RNA, 899 nt
Filed under: Agrilus planipennis (emerald ash borer)
Lineage: Eukaryota; Metazoa; Arthropoda; Insecta; Coleoptera; Buprestidae
Description: uncharacterized LOC108737462, transcript variant X1
Source: RNAcentral